GCCGUAGUCAAGCCCUGAGCGAGGUUGUCUAGGAGGUAGAGCUUCGGAUUGAGGAUUUAGGGCUCGAAAGGGCUCGGUUCUUUGUCCAACUCCGAAGUCCUAGGCACUGUAGACCUCAGGAGACGGCGGCUCGUCGUAAGGGUGAGUCGCGAGAGGGGAACAACCCAGACAGUGGUUAAGGUCCCUAAGUAUUGGUUAAGUGUUAAAGGGUGAAGGUUGUUCAUGACCAAAAACAGCGAGGAGGUUGGCUUAGAAGCAGCCACCCUUUAAAAAGUGCGUAACAGCUUACUCGUCGAGGUUAUGGGCGCUUAAAAUGGACAGGGCUAAACCAAUCACCGAUACCACUGGCACCCGUAAGGGUUGCGGUAGGUAGGCGUCCUGCUAGGUUAGAAGCUUCUUUGAAAAGAGAAGUGGACCUUGCAGGAAUGAGAAUCCUGGUAAUAGUAAGAGCUUAGCACUGUGAGAAUCAGUGCCGCCGAAAGGGCAAGGGUUCCUUGGCAAUGCAGUUCAGCCAAGGGUAAGUUAGUCCUAACUCAACUCAUAACUUGAGUCAGUUGAGGAAAGGGAAACAGGUUAAUAUUCCUGUACCAUAAAGGUAUGUGCGGUAACGCAAGCCUUGCUUCUGACGCUUUUGGUUAGGCUGACAAUCCUCCUCGGAAUUGUUAAUAAGAGCAGGUCAGGGGAGUACUGUAAUGGUGAGAACCUGAGUAACUUUUAGAACAGCGGUGCUUAAGCAUCGUUCAGCUCAUACCUAGAGCCCGUGAAAAGGGAGCAAGGAAAAAUCCUUGAUGUCUAUACCCAGUACCAGCACAGGUGCCCCUGGGUGAGAAGCCCAAGGCGGGAAGGGAUAAUCUGGUUGAGGGAAUUCGGCAAAUUAGCCCUAAGUCUUCGGUCUAAGGGGUCCCUACCUUUGUAUUCGUAUGAGUGCGAUCGUAGGGGGCACUAACAAAGGAGGUCCGACUGUUUAACAAAAACUUAACUGAGUGCGAACCUGUAAAGGUUAGAAUACUCAGUGACGUCUGCCCAGUGCCUGUAUCUCAAACUCCUUUUCAAGGGAGCGAAGGACAGGUAAACGGCGGGAGUAACUAUAACUCUCUUAAGGUAGCGAAAUGCCUUGCCGUUUGAUUGACGGCCUGCAUGAAUGGCGUAACGAGAUCUCCACUGUCCCCAACCAGAACCCUCUGAACAUUCCAUUCUGGUGCAAAGGCCAGAGACUCCCAGUGGGAAGCAAAGACCCCGUGAAACUUUACUGUAACCUGUUAUUGUGGCGUGAGUCUGGGUGUAUAGCGUAAGUAGGAGUUGUUUGAUGCUUGCACGCAAGUGUAAGUUUAGACGUCAAUGUAACACUACUCAUUUAGUUUUGCGUUGCUUAUCUGCUCUUUUUGAGUUGAGACACUAAUAGGCAGACAGUUUGGCUGGGGUGGCACGCUGCUGAAAAGAUAUGAGUUUUAGAUAUAUCUCUUUGCUCGCUUUAUAUCAGUAGCGCCCUAAGGUUGGCUCAGUCGGGUCAGAAACCGUUGACGAAGGCAAGGUGCCAGCGUCAUCGCUGAGCAUCCGAUGUUGAGUGCAAGGGCAAAAGCUAGCCUGACUGGGAUUCAAACAUGAAAAAUCUCAGAAACGAAAGUUAGGCCUAGCGAACCCCCGUACCUCCUUGAAUGGGGGACGGGUAUGACCGAAAAGUUACUCCGGGGAUAACAGAGUUGUCGCGCCCGAGAGCUCCUAUCGACGGCGCGGUUUGCUACAUCGAUGUCGGCUCUUCCUAUCCUGGCCGUGCAGAAUAACCUUUUUGGAAAAGGUUACCAAAAAUCAACAUUUUUGGGAACCCCCAGAAAUGCUAUGCAUUUCUGAUGGGUUAACGAAAAUAAGGCGACUCCUAGCUAAAAACAGCCGGAGUCCCCUGUAGUCAAAAACCUUGCAAAUAGGUACUGUAUGCGGCCAAGGGUGAGGGUGUUCACCUAUCAAAAGGGAUCGUGAGCUGGGUUCAGAACGCUGCGAGGCAGUUUGUUUGAUAUCUACUGGGAGUGUUGAGUGUCUGAGAGGAAGGACCCUUUAGUACGAGAGGAACGAGGGUUCGAAGCCACUGGUCGACCGGUUAUCCGACAGGGUAGGCCGGGCAGCUACGCUUUAAUGGAUAAGUGCUGAAAGCAUCUAAGCACGAAGCCAUCCUUGAAAAGAGACGCUCAUGGACGCCCAUAGAAGAUGGGGUUGAUAGAGCUGGUGUGUAAGCACCAAGGCAACGAGGUGUUCAGCAUGCAGCUACUAAUAAGUCCAACUCUCAUUUAAU
Euryarchaeota archaeon SM23-78 is the source of this 2284-nucleotide non-coding RNA. Lineage: Archaea; Methanobacteriati; Methanobacteriota. The record is from Rfam.